This 127-nucleotide microRNA precursor is filed under the name Myotis lucifugus (little brown bat). RNAcentral's name for it is "mir-9193 microRNA precursor family". It matches the Rfam family "mir-9193 microRNA precursor family". The record is from Rfam by way of RNAcentral. Lineage: Eukaryota; Metazoa; Chordata; Mammalia; Chiroptera; Vespertilionidae.
CAUGCACUGGUGGGGUCCUUCAGCCUGGCCUGUGCCCUGUCGCAAUCCAGGACCCCUAAGGGGAUGUCGGAGAGUCAGUUUCGGCCCGAUUCCCACAGGCCAGGCCGAGGGACCCCACCAGUGCACA